AUGGGAAACAGGUUAAUAUUCCUGUACUUGGUGUUACUGCGAAGGGGGGACGGAGAAGGCUAUGUUGGCCGGGCGACGGUUGUCCCGGUUUAAGCGUGUAGGCUGGUUUUCCAGGCAAAUCCGGAAAACCAAGGCUGAGGCGUGAUGACGAGGCACUACGGUGCUGAAGUGACAAAUGCCCUGCUUCCAGGAAAAGCCUCUAAGCAUCAGGUAACAUCAAAUCGUACCCCAAACCGACACAGGUGGUCAGGUAGAGAAUACCAAGGCGCUUGAGAGAACUCGGGUGAAGGAACUAGGCAAAAUGGUGCCGUAACUUCGGGAGAAGGCACGCUGAUAUGUAGGUGAAGCGACUUGCUCGUGGAGCUGAAAUCAGUCGAAGAUACCAGCUGGCUGCAACUGUUUAUUAAAAACACAGCACUGUGCAAACACGAAAGUGGACGUAUACGGUGUGACGCCUGCCCGGUGCCGGAAGGUUAAUUGAUGGGGUUAGCGGUAACGCGAAGCUCUUGAUCGAAGCCCCGGUAAACGGCGGCCGUAACUAUAACGGUCCUAAGGUAGCGAAAUUCCUUGUCGGGUAAGUUCCGACCUGCACGAAUGGCGUAAUGAUGGCCAGGCUGUCUCCACCCGAGACUCAGUGAAAUUGAACUCGCUGUGAAGAUGCAGUGUACCCGCGGCAAGACGGAAAGACCCCGUGAACCUUUACUAUAGCUUGACACUGAACAUUGAGCCUUGAUGUGUAGGAUAGGUGGGAGGCUUUGAAGUGUGGACGCCAGUCUGCAUGGAGCCGACCUUGAAAUACCACCCUUUAAUGUUUGAUGUUCUAACGUUGGCCCGUAAUCCGGGUUGCGGACAGUGUCUGGUGGGUAGUUUGACUGGGGCGGUCUCCUCCUAAAGAGUAACGGAGGAGCACGAAGGUUGGCUAAUCCUGGUCGGACAUCAGGAGGUUAGUGCAAUGGCAUAAGCCAGCUUGACUGCGAGCGUGACGGCGCGAGCAGGUGCGAAAGCAGGUCAUAGUGAUCCGGUGGUUCUGAAUGGAAGGGCCAUCGCUCAACGGAUAAAAGGUACUCCGGGGAUAACAGGCUGAUACCGCCCAAGAGUUCAUAUCGACGGCGGUGUUUGGCACCUCGAUGUCGGCUCAUCACAUCCUGGGGCUGAAGUAGGUCCCAAGGGUAUGGCUGUUCGCCAUUUAAAGUGGUACGCGAGCUGGGUUUAGAACGUCGUGAGACAGUUCGGUCCCUAUCUGCCGUGGGCGCUGGAGAACUGAGGGGGGCUGCUCCUAGUACGAGAGGACCGGAGUGGACGCAUCACUGGUGUUCGGGUUGUCAUGCCAAUGGCACUGCCCGGUAGCUAAAUGCGGAAGAGAUAAGUGCUGAAAGCAUCUAAGCACGAAACUUGCCCCGAGAUGAGUUCUCCCUGAGACUUUAAGUCUCCUGAAGGAACGUUGAAGACGACGACGUUGAUAGGCCGGGUGUGUAAGCGCAGCGAUGCGUUGAGCUAACCGGUACUAAUGAACCGUGAGGCUUAACCUUACAACGCCGAAGGUGUUU
This 1547-nucleotide ribosomal RNA is filed under the name Escherichia coli. RNAcentral's name for it is "partial 23S ribosomal RNA". It matches the Rfam family "Bacterial large subunit ribosomal RNA", at positions 1418 to 2925 of the family's 2925-position model. Lineage: Bacteria; Pseudomonadati; Pseudomonadota; Gammaproteobacteria; Enterobacterales; Enterobacteriaceae. The record is from RNAcentral.